Molecule: transfer RNA, 67 nt
Filed under: Marmota monax (woodchuck)
Lineage: Eukaryota; Metazoa; Chordata; Mammalia; Rodentia; Sciuridae
Description: tRNA.Val
Source: RNAcentral
GGAAAAUAGCUCAGUGGUAGAGUGCUUACCUAACAUGUACAAGGACCUGGGUUCAAUCCCAGCACCA